UAGGGAAUAUUGGACAAUGGGGGCAACCCUGAUCCAGCCAUGCCGCGUGAGUGAAGAAGGCCCUCGGGUUGUAAAGCUCUUUUGUCCGGAAAGAAAAGCUUCGGGUUAAUACCCCGGGGUUCUGACGGUACCGGAAGAAUAAGCACCGGCUAACUUCGUGCCAGCAGCCGCGGUAAUAAGAAGGGUGCAAGCGUUACUCGGAAUUACUGGGCGUAAAGCGUGCGUAGGUGGUUGUUUAAGUCUGAUGUGAAAGCCCUGGGCUCAACCUGGGAAUGGAAUUGGAAACUGGGCAGCUAGAGUGCGGGAGGGGGUAGUGGAAUUCCCGGUGUAGCAGUGAAAUGCGUAGAGAUCGGGAGGAACAUCUGUGGCGCAGGCUACUGCCUGGCCCAGCACUGACACUGAGGCACGAAAGCGUGGGGAGCAAACA
This 427-nucleotide ribosomal RNA is filed under the name uncultured bacterium. RNAcentral describes it as "bacterial SSU rRNA". It matches the Rfam family "Bacterial small subunit ribosomal RNA", at positions 355 to 774 of the family's 1533-position model. The record is from RNAcentral.